Molecule: non-coding RNA, 89 nt
Organism: Stygiomarasmius scandens
Lineage: Eukaryota; Fungi; Basidiomycota; Agaricomycetes; Agaricales; Campanellaceae
Source: the annotation of a GenBank genome assembly
GGCACUAUAGCCAAGUGGUUACGGCGACAGAUUCGAAUUGCGAUAUCUGUUUCCCUUCGGGAGCGCAGGUUCGAAUCCUGCUGGUGUCG